GACGAACGCUGGCGGCGUGCUUAACACAUGCAAGUCGAACGGAAAGGCCCUGCUUUUGUGGGGUGCUCGAGUGGCGAACGGGUGAGUAACACGUGAGUAACCUGCCCUUGACUUUGGGAUAACUUCAGGAAACUGGGGCUAAUACCGGAUAGGAGCUCCUGCUGCAUGGUGGGGGUUGGAAAGUUUCGGCGGUUGGGGAUGGACUCGCGGCUUAUCAGCUUGUUGGUGGGGUAGUGGCUUACCAAGGCUUUGACGGGUAGCCGGCCUGAGAGGGUGACCGGCCACAUUGGGACUGAGAUACGGCCCAGACUCCUACGGGAGGCAGCAGUGGGGAAUAUUGCACAAUGGGCGGAAGCCUGAUGCAGCAACGCCGCGUGCGAGAUGACGGCCUUCGGGUUGUAAACCGCUUUCGCCUGUGACGAAGCGUGAGUGACGGUAAUGGGUAAAGAAGCACCGGCUAACUACGUGCCAGCAGCCGCGGUGAUACGUAGGGUGCGAGCGUUGUCCGGAUUUAUUGGGCGUAAAGGGCUCGUAGGUGGUUGAUCGCGUCGGAAGUGUAAUCUUGGGGCUUAACCCUGAGCGUGCUUUCGAUACGGGUUGACUUGAGGAAGGUAGGGGAGAAUGGAAUUCCUGGUGGAGCGGUGGAAUGCGCAGAUAUCAGGAGGAACACCAGUGGCGAAGGCGGUUCUCUGGGCCUUUCCUGACGCUGAGGAGCGAAAGCGUGGGGAGCGAACAGGCUUAGAUACCCUGGUAGUCCACGCUGUAAACGGUGGGUACUAGGUGUGGGGUCCAUUCCACGGGUUCCGUGCCGUAGCUAACGCUUUAAGUACCCCGCCUGGGGAGUACGGCCGCAAGGCUAAAACUCAAAGGAAUUGACGGGGCCCCGCACAAGCGGCGGAGCAUGCGGAUUAAUUCGAUGCAACGCGUAGAACCUUACCUGGGUUUGACAUGGAUCGGGAGUGCUCAGAGAUGGGUGUGCCUCUUUUGGGGUCGGUUCACAGGUGGUGCAUGGCUGUCGUCAGCUCGUGUCGUGAGAUGUUGGGUUAAGUCCCGCAACGAGCGCAACCCUUGUUCACUGUUGCCAGCACGUUAUGGUGGGGACUCAGUGGAGACCGCCGGGGUCAACUCGGAGGAAGGUGGGGAUGACGUCAAGUCAUCAUGCCCCUUAUGUCCAGGGCUUCACGCAUGCCACAAUGGCUGGUACAGAGAGUGGCGAGCCUGUGAGGGUGAGCGAAUCUCGGAAAGCCGGUCUCAGUUCGGAUUGGGGUCUGCAACUCGACCUCAUGAAGUCGGAGUCGCUAGUAAUCGCAGAUCAGCAACGCUGCGGUGAAUACGUUCCCGGGGCU
RNAcentral lists this ribosomal RNA (1346 nucleotides) under uncultured bacterium. Its description in RNAcentral is "partial 16S ribosomal RNA". It matches the Rfam family "Bacterial small subunit ribosomal RNA", at positions 28 to 1381 of the family's 1533-position model. The record is from RNAcentral.